Labrus mixtus (cuckoo wrasse) is the source of this 569-nucleotide long non-coding RNA. RefSeq lists it as uncharacterized. The transcript has 3 exons. NCBI's taxonomy places the organism in Eukaryota, Metazoa, Chordata, Actinopteri, Labriformes, Labridae. The record is from RefSeq and is a predicted model, not a curated record.
CCUCCCACUGAAGGCGUUUCUUCCCGGUCUCUGUUUGGGAGACGAUCCGGUCAAUGAGCUUCACUUUUCCCACGUUUUUACCCUGAAGCAGCGGAGGAGAUUUGCUCUUAUCCUUUACGGUUAUAUCCGGUCAUAAAAGUGUUUAAAUCGACUGAAAACACUCCAAACUAACAUGCAGAGGACUGUCCGUUAAACAUGUUAUAGUUCAAACAAUCAGCUGUUUUCUGUCGAUGUUUUCUCACUCCCGGGACAGUUAACGUAUUCCGUCCUCGGAUAUAACGACUAACUCCUACAGGUUGUCUCAUCUGAUGUGUUAGGACACCAUGUCUCCCCCCCGCUGCGUCCUGCUGCUGCUGCUGUCCUGCAUCCUGCUGGUCCUGCUGGUCCAGGUCCCUGGGGCUGAGUCCAGACCGGCCACAGAGGACACAGACACAGCAGACGCAGUGAAAUCCUCUGAAGACGAAGAAGACGAUGAGUCAUCAUCAGAGGAAAACAAACUGUCCAAUGAGCUGUCAACGAGUAACGAGAAAAUCCAACGUGAGCCUCCAACCUUUACUCCCUCUCUCUCU